Molecule: long non-coding RNA, 1232 nt
Filed under: Cyanistes caeruleus (blue tit)
Lineage: Eukaryota; Metazoa; Chordata; Aves; Passeriformes; Paridae
Description: lncRNA (ENSCCEG00000007160.1)
Source: RNAcentral
CCAGUAGCAAGGAAGGAAUUAAUGCCACAGAUUAAGCGGGAGGACAUGCUGACAGCACAGGAACUAAAUCAACCAAAAAGCCAUUGCAAUGGUUGGAAUUGCUGGUGUUGGAGAGUUCUGCCUCUGUCUGUAUGGAAAGAGGAGGAUAAAAAUAAACCCUGCAAACAGAGAGAGCUGUGGGGCUGCUGAUGGAAGAAAUGCCCUCAUCCAGGUGUUCUCCAACUCCAGUUUUCCUCCAUCACUUCCUGAGGGAGCCUUGGGAACCUGGGCUCAGUGGCUGACCUGUGUUCAGGGGAAGCGAUCCCAUGGCAGGGAGGGUAAGGAGGAUUCCUUAUAUAUUAUAAAAAGAAGUUUAACUUAAAAAUCACAGAGAAAUCACUGAGUUCCAGCAGAGUGAGACAUGAGAAGAGACUGACUGUGGCAUUUUCAGAGCUGUGUCUAAGCCUUUAUCAAAGAAGGUUGGAGGGAAUCAACCUGGUCUGUGAGAAGAAUGGAUCUGGGUCAUUUCUCCCUGUCCUGCCAUGCCCAGAUUUCACAGCUGGGGAGGUAAAGGACAGGGCCUGACCCUCAGUGUUUGAUUUUCACCUCCCUCAGCCCUGACAACAGGGCAUUGAUUACAUUAAUUCUGCUUUAUCUCCACAAAAACCCACUGACCCUGACCUGAUGGCUGAGUAGGUUUUUCCACAAGCGCUUGGCAUUGCUUUUCCUGGCAGUGCUGUGACAGCCUUUGGGAUCAGAUUGUGGAUUUCCUGCCCCACCUGCUGCUCUCAAGGCACUCAAUAAGGAUUUAUUAUCCCAGCAAAGCCCUGGGAGGAUCUGGUGAGUUCUGCUCCAGUUCAGUCUGGUUCCCUGAGCCCCUCAGUAAAGAUAAUUCCUUACAUCUCUUAUCUUGCUCAGCAAUUGCCCUCAGGAAACGAUAACCCUGGCAAGAUUCCUUGUGGUUUUGCAAAAGGAAAGAAAAUAUUUGUUCAUUCUCAGCGGUUUAAAAAGGUAGAAGUGGGUGUGUUAACCACUCUCUUGUGAAGGAAUGGGGGUUUGACCUGCAGGAGGAGGAGCUGUGUGGUGGGGUCAGUACAGGAGACACGGCAGAGCUCUUCCCCAUGGUUAAAAUUACACUGAAUUUCCUCUUUCUCACUCUUCCCUGUGAACCCCCAAAGUCUCAGCAGAACCUCUAGGGAUGGGUGGCAAUUUAAGGACCGUGAAAUGUAAAUAAAUCUUUGUUUUUCCUUCCA